Long non-coding RNA from Penaeus monodon (black tiger shrimp), 352 nucleotides. RefSeq lists it as uncharacterized. The transcript has 3 exons. Lineage: Eukaryota; Metazoa; Arthropoda; Malacostraca; Decapoda; Penaeidae. The record is from RefSeq and is a predicted model, not a curated record.
CAAGUGCUGUAUAUAACAAGCGAAGAACAUACGCCACUCAUCAAAACACAAAGAUGGCGAUCAAAGCUCUGUUGAUGGCGAUGAUGAUGUAUGCCCUCAUCCUCGUGGCCAAGAAAGCUGACAUGCCUGAUCAGCCUACCACUCCAUGUCCAAUGUCACAAACAUCCACGUAAAGUCUUAGAGUCCACGGCUUUCUCAGAACCUCGAAAUCCAGGAUCUAGAAUCUGCCUAAAUGUGAUGUAAAUCUCCAUAUUUUAAAUUAUAAUUGUAUACAUAUAUUCUCUCUCUAUCUAUCUAUCUAAUUGUCUGUCUAUACAUCUAUCUAUUUAUCUGUCUAUCUAUCUCUCUCUCU